AUACGUAGGUGGCAAGCGUUAUCCGGAAUUAUUGGGCGUAAAGAGUGAGCAGGCGGUUAAUUAAGUCUGAGGUUAAAGCGUGGGGCUCAAACCCAUAAAGCCUUGGAAACUGAUUGACUAGAGAACGGGAGCAGUGAAGGGAACUCCAUGUGUAGCGGUGAAAUGCGUAGAUAUAUGGAAGAACACCAGUGGCGAAGGCGCUUCACUAGCCCGAAACUGACGCUCAGUCACGAAAGCGUGGGUAGCAAAUAGGAUUAGAUACCCUAGUAGUCCACGCUGUAAACGAUGACAACUAAAUAUUGCCGCGAGGCAGUGUUGAAGCUAACGCAUUAAGUUGUCCGCCUGGGGAGUACGGUCGCAAGACUGAAACUUAAAGGAAUUGACGGGG
RNAcentral lists this ribosomal RNA (388 nucleotides) under uncultured bacterium. Its description in RNAcentral is "partial 16S ribosomal RNA". It matches the Rfam family "Bacterial small subunit ribosomal RNA", at positions 523 to 918 of the family's 1533-position model. The record is from RNAcentral.